Molecule: ribosomal RNA, 166 nt
Filed under: Starmerella cf. bombicola UWOPS 00-531
Lineage: Eukaryota; Fungi; Ascomycota; Dipodascomycetes; Dipodascales; Trichomonascaceae
Also listed under: 1 other name
Description: 5.8S ribosomal RNA
Rfam family: 5.8S ribosomal RNA
About the family: 5.8S ribosomal RNA (5.8S rRNA) is a component of the large subunit of the eukaryotic ribosome. It is transcribed by RNA polymerase I as part of the 45S precursor that also contains 18S and 28S rRNA. Functionally, it is thought that 5.8S rRNA may be involved in ribosome translocation.
Source: RNAcentral
AAAACUUUCAACAACGGAUCUCUUGGUUCUCGCAUCGAUGAAGAACGCAGCAAAGCGCGAUAGGUAAUGCGAAUUGCAGACGUGAGUCAUUGAAUCUUUGAACGCACAUUGCGCUACCAGGCUAUAUGCUUGGUAGCAUGCUUGUUGGAGCGCCGAUCUUUCUCCU